UUAGAGUUUGAUCCUGGCUCAGGACGAACGCUGGCGGCGUGCCUAACACAUGCAAGUCGAACGGAGAUACUUUUGAAGCUUGCGAAGGAGUAUCUUAGUGGCGGACGGGUGAGUAACGCGUGGGUAAUCUGCCCAUAAGCGGGGAACAACAGUUGGAAACGACUGCUAAUACCGCAUAAACUGCCUAAGGGCAGGAAAGGUGGCCUCUGAAUAUGCUGCCGCUUAUGGAUGAGCCCGCGUCUGAUUAGCUGGUUGGUGGGGUAAAGGCCUACCAAGGCGACGAUCAGUAGCCGGCCUGAGAGGGUGAACGGCCACACUGGGACUGAGACACGGCCCAGACUCCUACGGGAGGCAGCAGUGGGGAAUAUUGCGCAAUGGGGGAAACCCUGACGCAGCGACGCCGCGUGAGCGAAGAAGGCCUUAGGGUUGUAAAGCUCUGUUUUAGGGGACGAAAGCUAUAGGGAGAAAUAUGCCCUGUAAAUGACGGUACCCUAAGAGGAAGCCCCGGCUAACUACGUGCCAGCAGCCGCGGUAAGACGUAGGGGGCGAGCGUUGUCCGGAAUUACUGGGCGUAAAGAGCACGUAGGCGGGAACUUAAGUCGGGUGUGAAAGACCGUGGCUCAACCACGGGUAUGCAUUUGAAACUGGGUUUCUUGAGGGCAGGAGAGGAAAGCAGAAUUCCUGGUGUAGCGGUGAAAUGCGUAGAAAUCAGGAGGAAUACCAGUGGCGAAGGCGGCUUUCUGGACUGACCCUGACGCUGAGGUGCGAAAGCGUGGGUAGCAAACAGGAUUAGAUACCCUGGUAGUCCACGCCGUAAACGAUGGAUAAAAGGUGUAGGGGUGGUCCAUGACCUUUGUCCCGCCCGCUAACGCAUUAAAGUAUUCCGCCCUGGGGAGUACGGUCGCAAGAUUAAAAACUCAAAGGAAUUGACGGGGGCCCGCACAAGCAGCGGAGCAUGUGGUUUAAUUCGAAGCAACGCGAAGAACCUUACCUAGACUUGACAUCUCCUGCAUUACUCUUAAUCGAGGAAGUCUCUUCGGAGACAGGAUGACAGGUGGUGCAUGGUUGUCGUCAGCUCGUGUCGUGAGAUGUUGGGUUAAGUCCCGCAACGAGCGCAACCCUCAUUGUUAGUUGCCAUCAUUAAGUUGGGCACUCUAGCGAGACUGCCCGGGUUAACCGGGAGGAAGGUGGGGAUGACGUCAAAUCAUCAUGCCCCUUAUGUCUAGGGCUACACACGUGCUACAAUGGUCGGUACAACGAGGAGCAAGCUAGCGAUAGCAAGCAAAUCUCUUAAAGCCGAUCCCAGUUCGGAUUGCAGGCUGCAACUCGCCUGCAUGAAGUCGGAGUUGCUAGUAAUCGCGGAUCAGAAUGUCGCGGUGAAUGCGUUCCCGGGUCUUGUACUCACCGCCCGUCA
This 1414-nucleotide ribosomal RNA is filed under the name uncultured bacterium. Its description in RNAcentral is "bacterial SSU rRNA". It matches the Rfam family "Bacterial small subunit ribosomal RNA". The record is from RNAcentral.